GGGUGCAGAGGCGCGAAAACUUUGCAUAUACGAAAGUGUGACAGGGUCAUCCCGAGUGCCGACCGCUGAGGUUGGCUUUUACCCAGUCUAGAAAGCUGGGGGAAUAAGGAGAGGGCAAGUCUGGUGUCAGCCGCCGCGGUAAUACCAGCUCUCCGAGUGGUGUGGACGCUUAUUGGGCCUAAAGCAUCCGUAGCUGGCUGAUCAAGUCCCCUGUUAAACCCACCGAUUUAAUCGUUGGCUUGCGGGGGAUACUGCUCGGCUAGGGGACGAGAGAGGCAGACGGUAUUCCCGGGGUAGGGGUGAAAUCCUAUAAUCCCGAGAAGACCACCAGUGGCGAAGGCUGUCUGCUAGAACGCGCCCGACGGUGAGGGAUGAAAGCUGGGGGAGCGAACCGGAUUAGAUACCCGGGUAGUCCCAGCUGUAAACGAUGCAGACUAGGUGUUUGGACGGCCACGUGCCGUUCUAGUGCCGCAGGGAAGCUGUUAAGUCUGCCGCCUGGGGAGUACGAUCGCAAGAUUGAAACUUAAAGGAAUUGGCGGGGGAGCAC
This 547-nucleotide ribosomal RNA is filed under the name uncultured archaeon. Its description in RNAcentral is "bacterial SSU rRNA". It matches the Rfam family "Archaeal small subunit ribosomal RNA", at positions 328 to 879 of the family's 1478-position model. The record is from RNAcentral.